AAGAAUCUACAGGUCGAGCAAGUCUCGUAAAUUUCACGAUUGCGAGCCACGCUUCACGCAACCGUGUUUGCGUACUUGUGUUUCGAGUUGCGUGGUCGUGCGGAGUUAUAUUUACCAAAUUUAAAUGUAAUCGUUUCUACUGAUAAUAAUAUACUAUUCUCAAUAUGGCUACUGGGUGUAAAAGAUAAAUCUUAUUCUAUCUGUUCUUCAUGAGUUUUAGAUAAUUUUAGUUGUAUUUCUUUGUAAUUUUGUGUUGUACAAAGAUUAAUUUAACAUUUUCUCUGGAAGUAUUAAUUUAGAAAGAUAAUAUGCUUCAUUGGUGUUGUGUUUUGAAGUGUGAAAUGCAAAGUAAUUGUGAUAAAGUCAAGAUAAAGUUCACUUUUAAACUGAACUAAAUAAGGUAUCUGAGAGACAACAAUGGUUAAAUGCAAUACAAUGUACAGGUUUUACUAGCGAAAUGAACAUUUUCCUGUCCUGUCUGCUGUAAUCAUUUUAUAUCUGGAAAAUAGGAAAACCAGCCGACUUAAUCGAUAAUAACAAUCUCCAGAUUGGGUUCCUUCAAUAAAUAUGGGCUAUAAACACAAUGAAAUAAGUUCCCCAAAAUCUAAAAUGGAGUGCUAUCAAAGGAGAAUUAAAGGAAAAAAUAUUCAUAUUGAAAUUAUUUAUAAGGCACUGGACUGUCUUAAAUUCUACAAUAAUACUAGAAUCAGCUGAGAGAAGUGGUCUACAAAAAACCAGGAAGGAAACGGAAUAUGUGGCUACGAAAGGCAAAAGAAAGGUUUACAAAGCAAAUGUGACACAUUUUUUUGAAAUAUUUAGGAAUAUCAGUAAAUUGCAUUAAAAAAUGUAUGAAAAGAUUUUGUUCAAUAAAAAUGUUUAUAUUUA
Long non-coding RNA from Diabrotica virgifera virgifera (western corn rootworm), 885 nucleotides. RefSeq lists it as uncharacterized. NCBI's taxonomy places the organism in Eukaryota, Metazoa, Arthropoda, Insecta, Coleoptera, Chrysomelidae. The record is from RefSeq and is a predicted model, not a curated record. The transcript is spliced from 3 exons.